CCAUAUCUUAUUCCCAUUCACUAACAGAUAAACAUAUUACAAAUACCAUAUCAAUAUGUUACAUUAUUUUAAGAGUUGUCUACUAUAUAGGGUUAGAACUUAAGUUUUUCCAGUAUCUAUAUUAUCUCCUUUAGGAAUAGCACCUCUAUCACCAUUAUUGUUAUUGAAUUCCUGCCUACUCAUAUGAUGAUGGUUAUCCAUAGUUCUGGUACCUCCUGUAGGCUGCUGCUCGUUAUUCUCACUGCUACUUGUAGCCAGGCACGAACUCAUCACCAUAAUAACUAACACAAGAACAUCGAGUCUCAU
RNAcentral lists this long non-coding RNA (306 nucleotides) under Nicotiana benthamiana. RNAcentral's name for it is "long non-coding RNA (NBEN_LNC009545)". Lineage: Eukaryota; Viridiplantae; Streptophyta; Magnoliopsida; Solanales; Solanaceae. The record is from RNAcentral.